Molecule: ribosomal RNA, 654 nt
Filed under: Triticum aestivum (bread wheat)
Lineage: Eukaryota; Viridiplantae; Streptophyta; Magnoliopsida; Poales; Poaceae
Description: partial small subunit ribosomal RNA
Source: RNAcentral
AUGAACCGAUGGCAUCGAGUUAACAAAAUGAUAAAUAAUUUCCAUUCCAUCCACGGGGAGAUUAGCGGUGUAUAUGCUAGUGGGCAGUCCAAUCAGCAAUUGAUGGAGAAAGUCCACAAAGCAUAUGAGAACAGACACGGAGGACCAUUUCUUCUGGAAAGUACCUGGCAGGUUGUUCGUCACUAUCCGAAGUGGUCUACGUACAAUGCAGAACUGAAUGGAUUGAAGAAAAUAGAUGUGGCCGACCUGGGGAAGGCAGAGGAUCAUGAGGCAGCUGAUAGUGAUGAUAUCCCACGGCCUCCAGGUACUAAAACAGCUAAAAGAGAUGGGAAUGGCAAUGACAAAAGAAAGUUGAAGUCAGAGGAUUUAGAAGAGCUUGAGAAAUUCUUAGAAGCCCAAAAAGAAGCUACUAAAAGUCGCACGGAUGUCCUUGAGGUUCAAAAGCGUAUUGCAACCGAUAAACUUGAGUCGUCGAGGCUCAUUCUCCUUGCAGCGAAGGAGAACAAGGAGGCAAAAACAAGAGGGAAAAUGCUAGAACAGUACGGUAAAUUAUUGACACAAGAUAUGGCAGGGAUGACCGAGUUUCAGAAAGCUGAGCAUGCGAUUGCACUUAAAUUGAUGCGGGAGGAGUUAUUCCCCAACGCUCGUCAAUAA